RNAcentral lists this unclassified non-coding RNA (3707 nucleotides) under Leishmania donovani. RNAcentral describes it as "gene:LdHU3.26.1080(CDS-product:RNA-editing_comple x_protein_MP100_putative)". Lineage: Eukaryota; Euglenozoa; Kinetoplastea; Trypanosomatida; Trypanosomatidae. The record is from RNAcentral.
UGCCACACAUUAGCCGCCGAGAAGGGGUGCUCUUGCGCGCGCUUGUGUGCGGGCGCCUGCCUUGUUGCUCAAUACCGACAAGCGGGAAAAACAGACAGAGAGGGAGAGAAGGACACCGUGGAAAGCAAUGAGAGUCACCGUGUAGUCGAUCAACCGCUCCCCCCUUCCCCAACCCCACCCUCACCCGCGUAAACGUCACUUGACUCACCUCGUGACACGCGCACACGGAACGCAUACGUACACCUACAAAGCCUCCGCUGCUCACCACUUCUCCCUAUCCUGUUCCCCGUCUCCUUUCCUCGAUGCGGGGUGUGCUGGCGCGUAACGCAUGUCGGCUCAACUCCCUCCAGAAAGGGACGCGGCUAGCUGAUGUCUACCAGCUCCUCAUCACCAAGAAGCCGGUCGAGUACGACUACGUCGCGAUUGACGUGAACGCCUUUGUCGGCGGUGCCAUGCGCAUAACAAAGAACAUGUCGCCAGAGCAGCGUCGCAGCAAGGAGGCUUCGCGGCAUGUCCUCAACUCCAUCAUGCAGAUGCUGCGCCGCGUGGUGUGCCGUCGCUCUCUUCUCCUCGCCUUUGAUGGUCCGGACACGUUUGCGAAGGCGUACAAGCUUCGCACCACGCCGUCGACACGGCGACUCGACAUUCAAACUCAGCGCCUCCCCGGUGGUGUUCUGAUGCGUGCGGUGGAAGAUCGCAUAGUCAAGACGAUGCCGCUGGGGCGCGGUCUGAUUCCCGGCGAGGUGGUCGUUUCCGGUGUCAACGUGGAGGGCCCGGUGGAGCGAAAGGUGACGGCAUGGGCUCUCGACUUGGCGUGCCGCGACGGGGCGCAGCACACCUCCAAGUCUAUCUGCCUCAUCGGAGCGGGGGAGCUGUGGAUGAACGUGCUCGCCCUCACGCCGUACUCUCAAGGUACGAGCAUCUUGCACGGAUCGUCCGACUUGCGCCACAUGACGCUCAACGACUCCCUGACAUGGCUCCAGCUCGGCGACGACCUGCUGACCGGCGAUGCACGGGUCAUCACGGCAGCGCGGACAGAUGCGCUGUUGCUUUAUCUGCUGUGCCACGGCUGCUCCGCAACAGACCUCUCGCCGCUGUCUGGAUCGAACUUUACGGUUCUCAUGGAAGCAUACCACGCUCGACGCCGAGAAGCCGCAGCAGCCGCCGGUGCGGCCGCCGGGGCACCGAUCUUUCAGCUCAUCCGCGAGCAGCCGAACGGUGCCCUGGUGCUUGACGUGCAGGCGUUCUACCUACUCUUUGUGGCGGAAAAGGACAUUGCAGCAGCGAUCCAGUCGCUGGCGGCGCUUGUCGUGCCGGCGAAGGGUGCGAGCCCACACGCGGCACCGCUGAGGACCUUCUCCAUGCCGCUCUCCACUUCAGGCGGCAGCGCAUCAGAGGAGCAGAUGCGCGACGCUAACACGCCCGACAUGUUGCACGGCAGCUACCUAAGCCACCUGCUCAACUCCCAUCACCUCUUCUGCCAUGGUGAAAUGCUCGGUCGGUUCAGUGUGCCGGCCUACAUGGAAGCAGAGGUGAAGAUGGGGAGCCUUGGCCGCAGCGGCGCUGCGGGUGUCCGCGCCAGCGUGGUCGCCGUGGGGGAUUGGACCCGCUUUCUGCUCCGCUGUCUCCAACGCGGGGGGCGCUACGCUUUCGCCAGUGACGCAGGCGCUGAGCUAAGCUACAACACCUCGAAGUGGGCACCACCCGCUACGACGGCUGCCGAUGUGAGCGCUGCGUCUUCGCCCACCGCUCCCUGCACGACCGCGUACUAUCCUUUCUGGUCCUCCGCGCAGCCGCUGACGGCAGCCGAGUACACCAUCCUUAGCACCCCAAAUCCAGGCAUCCUCGAUCCGCUGCUAGUGGAUUACGUGCCGGGGGUAACGCCGGCGCUACGGUCGGAGCUGCCGCGGGCGCUCACUUCUGUGCAGGCGAACCUCCAUGAACUUCGCAGCUCGCUGCAGCACUUCUUCGCGUACGCGACGGCUGAUCGGCCGCACCCGUCGCUGUGCCUGGCGCCGUCCUACCACUGGUGUCAAAACGAGAAGAGCAAGGUGUGGUCAAUGCGGUACGUGGACUUGGGCGUGGUCGCACGGCAGCAGGGUGUCCGUCACGCACGCGGCCUGCUGCCUGGCAUGAGCAUGGAGCAGGAAGCGCCGAAGGAGGGCGCCGUGGUAUAUGACGCCGAAUCACAAACGUGGACCUCGCAGCCACGCAGCUUCGCUGUAUUCACAUCGUCGGAGCAGCUACCGGGACAUCAAGAGCGUGAGCAUGCCGACGGGUCAUCGUCUUCAUCCAUGGCGGCCACGGCUGCUGCUUCCGUGGAUGCGGCCGAGGUGCCCACGCUGAGGGUGCUCACGUGGAACGUCAUGUUCGAUCGGUACAGCAACCAACCUACCCCACUCGGUAUGCCGGGCAUCGACUGGUGCAGCCCGAAGCGGUACCCGGUGCUGGCGAAGCUCAUCGACGCCGAGGACGCCGAUGUGGUGGGGAUGCAGGAAGUGGAGCGGCCGUUUGCUGAGUACCUCGCGGCGCAGCCGUGGUGCCGCGAGCGGUACAUCAUGUCCUGCAGUCCGCAGAGCCCCAUCUUGGAUCCGUGGGGCGUGCUGCUACUUGUGCGCCGCGGCGGGCGGUGGCCGCUGCAGCAGCUGAAACACCUGAAUGUGCCGGCGUGGUCAGGCCACGUCUCCCUCAUGCCUGUGGCUACGCUGGAUUUGAGUGCAGCCGCCGCCCACAGCGACAACAGUGGCACCGGCGGUGGCAGCUCAGCCGGAAAGAGCGGCAGCAGAAAGCUUGCAGCGUCGCCGCGGGUGGUGAACGUCUGCUCCAUGCACUUGCUGGCGCCAUUUGUGAAGGUGAACGAGGUGGCCCGCACGGGUCAGGAUCAAGCUCUGCGUCAUGCGCUGACGCGGCAGCUGCAGGGCGACACGCUCGUGAUGGGCGACUUCAACGACUGGCCGAGCAACGAGUUCCUCAUGCCGCCAGAGUCGCGGUACGUCGAGUGCUGGCCGAUCAUUCACCCCGGUGACUAUGGGAAAACAAUGGACGAGUCGAACACCUUCUGCAAGCUGAAGAUCGAAGAGAUCUUCUUUGGUCGCUCUGACAAGGUGUUCCUCCGGACAGGUACCGCCACAGCCUCGAGCCCCACCCGAGGCGUGCUGAAGCCAGUGGAGGCGCAUCUAGUAGGAACGCGGAGCGUCAAUGACGAAAACGGCAAUCAAGAAGCACCGGCGUAUCUGUUCCCGUCUGACCACUACGGCGUCAGCAUGCAGUUCCAAGUCCUGUGACCGACAUGCUCCGUGCGCGUGUGCAUGUGUGUCUGCCUGCAAUGGUGGUACAGAGGGGAGAGGAAGGGGAGGGUGACUGCCACGGCACUACGCCCCUCUCCCCCAUCCACAGGCGCCGACAGAGCGAGAGAGCUGCGUGGAAAAGGACGGAGGCGAGGGGGCGCUGGUUUGGUGUGUGUCUCAUCUGCGUUUGGGUGUGGUCGCUCUGUGCUUCGUCUCUGCUUCUCCCCUUCCCUGCUCCAUCUCCUGCGGUUUAAGAAGGCACGAGGCUGAGGGGAGGCAUCCCGCGUGCGGUACCACUGCAGCCCCGUUUCUGGCUUUAGUCUGCGCUGAGCAGGGAACCCCCUCCCCCCUUCCCCCUCCCCUCACCUCACCAAGAGAGAAACAGUCGUGCGUACGCAAGCAGUGGCUCUGCAGGUGUUU